AACGAACGCUGGCGGCAGGCUUAACACAUGCAAGUCGAACGCCUGGGAGCGAUCCCGGGAGUGGCAGACGGGUGAGUAACACGUGGGAACAUACCCUUUGGUUCGGAACAACUCUGGGAAACUAGAGCUAAUACCGGAUAAGCCUCUGGAGCGAUUUUGGGGGGAAAGGUUAGAUCUUGCCUGAGGAUUGGCCCGCGUCCGAUUAGCUCGUUGGUGGGGUAACGGCUCACCAAGGCUUCGAUCGGUAGCUGGUCUGAGAGGAU
RNAcentral lists this ribosomal RNA (263 nucleotides) under uncultured bacterium. RNAcentral's name for it is "partial 16S ribosomal RNA". It matches the Rfam family "Bacterial small subunit ribosomal RNA", at positions 29 to 301 of the family's 1533-position model. The record is from RNAcentral.